This 65-nucleotide transfer RNA is filed under the name Anodontites trapesialis. RNAcentral's name for it is "tRNA-Leu". Lineage: Eukaryota; Metazoa; Mollusca; Bivalvia; Unionida; Mycetopodidae. The record is from RNAcentral.
AACAAGUUAGUAUAUAAAAUACCAUUGGCUUAGGACCAAUUAACAAGGACCACCCUUACUUGUCA